UGCGAGCUUCAUCAUGCAAAGCGGUGGAACUUCAAGUAUAAAAAGAUAAGUUUUCGUACUAUGACAACCAUGUUGGAGAGUGGAGAUGCAGAUGUAUUAUAUACAUCUCUGUUACUCUUUAUCUUCAACAAUUUUUCUUAUUAUAUAAAGAAGAGAAUCACUCUCUUUUCAUCAAAACACGUCAGUAAAUAGGUUUUUUUGAGUUCGACACAUGGCAGUAAAUUUCACCGCAGUGUUUCAUUUAACUCUGUAACAUGUGUUACGUGGGCUUUGUAUGUGGCCCUUAAGUUUGCACGAUUCAGCCAGCCCAGCAAUGAGUUUCUCCACUUCUAAACGCUGUUUUGAACGUCGUUUAUAUAUUAGGUUUUUUUUUUGCUUUCAUCUCGGCCAUUAGAUAUCGACACAGAACCAAAAUUCUGAAAAGUUGUUUAGCUUCUUACUAACAAUUUCUACCAGUUGCAGAUUCGCAAAGUCCUUAUUAAAUCAUCACCCGACCAUGAUCUAUGCGAGCUUCAUCAUGCAAAGCGGUGGAACUUCAAGUAUAAAAAGAUAAGUUUUCGUACUAUGACAACCAUGUUGGAGAGCCGAGAUGCAGAUGUACUAUAUACAUCUCUGUUACUCUUUGUCUUCAACAAUUUUCAUCUUCUAUUUCUAGGGUUCUUGGUGUUCUUCACCUUCUCCUUUCAUAAACCGAUCAUUGAGUUUCUGGAAGUUAAUGGGAGGUGACUUUAUACAGCAGAUCUCUAGAGCAAUUUGAUUUUUGUGUCGUUUGGACAGGUUUUUUAUGCCGAGUAAGUCGCAGAGAAUGCCGGAGCUGAUAUGAUAAGCAAGCAGAGACAACAGCAAGAAGGGAAUCACAGGAGAAAGACCGUACUCUCAGUGCUCUGGUACAGAAUGAUGUACGGUCCUGAAGAUGCUAUAUGCAUAAGAGAUUGAAGAAGCUACUUACAGGUUCACGAGCAACAGAAAAGUAGGAGAAGGCUCAAUAAGUAACUUGAUUCAUUGAUGUUCGCUUGAUUCUUUAAAUUCUUGAGACUUUUGUUCAGGAAAAAAAAACAAUUUCAACAAGAGGCUGAGGAUCUAGAGUUAAUAUGUAGAGAAAAAGAUAUGCUCUGCUUUUCUUACUUCCAACAAAGUUGCUUUCCGACCAA
Brassica rapa (field mustard) is the source of this 1151-nucleotide long non-coding RNA. RefSeq lists it as uncharacterized. NCBI's taxonomy places the organism in Eukaryota, Viridiplantae, Streptophyta, Magnoliopsida, Brassicales, Brassicaceae. The record is from RefSeq and is a predicted model, not a curated record.